RNAcentral lists this ribosomal RNA (1265 nucleotides) under uncultured bacterium. RNAcentral's name for it is "partial 16S ribosomal RNA". It matches the Rfam family "Bacterial small subunit ribosomal RNA". The record is from RNAcentral.
UGGUGGUUGGGUAAUUCAGUCCUCCCCCACGGGGGUUCUCGUGCACGGGCUGUUCUCUCCGGGAGAACACUUAGGAUAUUUGACAUUGCGAAUUCUGAUCAUACUUCGCGAAGAAGACAGCUGCGGGUCUAUAAGCUGUUUUAUGAGGAAGAAUAGCCGGUGAUUAUCUCUGUGAAGACGGAUACGUCAGGAUAAGCACGGCUAACUCCUUGCCAGCAGCGCGGUACUACGGAGGGUGCAGCGUAUCCGGAAUCACUGGGUUUAAAGGGUGACGUAGGCUGGCUAGAUAAGUCAGACGUGAAAGGUUGCAGCUGACUGUGAGACGGCUUUGAUACUGUUUAGCUUGAAUCAGAUAGAGGUUAGAGGAAUGCGGCAUGUAGCUGUGAAAUGCAUAGAUAUGCCCGUGGCAUACUGAUUGCGAAGGCAGCUCACUGGGUCUGUAUUGACGCUGAGGCACGAAAGCGUGGGGAGCGAACAGGAUUAGAUACCAUGGUAGUACACGCCUUCAAACGAUGUUAACUCGACGUUUGGUCUGUACGAUUGAGCGUCCAAGGGAAACCGAUAAGUUAACCACCUGGGGAGUACGUGCGCAAGCAUGAUACUCAAAGGAAUUGACGGGGGUCCGCACUAGCGGUGGAGCAUGUGGUUUAAUUCGAUGAUACGCGAGGAAGCUUACCUGGGCUCGAACGCUAUAGGACUACGCCCCGAAAGGGGGUAUUUCUUCGGAACUUAUAGUGAGGUGCUGCAUGGCUGUCGUCAGCUCGUGCCGUGAGGUGUUGGGUUAAGUCCCGCAACGAGCGCAACCCGCUAUUUUUAGUUGCCAUCUCUACUUCGGUAGAAGGGACUCUAAAGAGACUGCUUCGGUAACGGAGAGGAAGGUGGGGAAGACGUCAAGUCAUCAUGGCCUUUAUGCCCAGGGAUACACCCGUGCUACAAUGGUAGGUACAGAGGGCAGCGAUCACGCAAGUGCUAGCCAAUCUUAAAAAGCCUAUCUCAGUUCGGAUUGGAGUCUGCAACUCGAGUUCAGGAAGUAGGAAUCGAUAGUAAUCGCGCAUCAGCUAGGGCACGGCGAAUUCGUUCCCGGACCUCGUACACACCGCCCGUCAAGCCAUGGAAGCUGGGGGUGCCUGAAGAUGGUGACUUUACGGGGAGCUAUAUAAGGUAAAACUAGUAACUGGGGCUAAGUCGUAACAAGGUAACCAAGGGGAAUUCGCGGCCGCUAAAUUCAAUCGCCCUAAGGAGCAACGGAACAAAAAGAAAAGUCU